RNAcentral lists this long non-coding RNA (5476 nucleotides) under Sus scrofa (pig). RNAcentral's name for it is "lncRNA (ENSSSCG00050038517.1)". The record is from RNAcentral. Lineage: Eukaryota; Metazoa; Chordata; Mammalia; Artiodactyla; Suidae.
UUUUAUUUUCCCACUGUACAGCAAGGGGGUCAGGUUAUCCUUACAUGUAUACAUUACAAUUGUAUUUUUUCCCCCAUCCUUUCUUCUGUUGCAACAUGAGUAUCUAGACAAAGUUCUCAAUGCUAUUCAGCAGGAUCUCCUUGUAAAUCUAUUCUAAGCUGUGCUUGAUAAGUCCAAGCUCCCAAUCCCUCCCACUCCCUCCCCCUCCCAUCAGGCAGCCACAAGUCUCUUCUCCAAGUCCAUGAUUUUCUUUUCUGAGAUGUUCAUUUGUGCUGGAUAUUAGAUUCCAGUUAUAAGUGAUAUCAUAUGGUAUUUGUCUUUGUCUUUCUGGCUCAUUUCACUCAGGAUGAGAAUCUCUAGUUCCAUCCAUGUUGCUGCAAAUGGCAUUAUGUCAUCCUUUUUUAUGGCUGAGUAGUAUUCCAUUGUGUAUAUAUACCACCUCUUCCGAAUCCAAUCCUCUGUCGAUGGACAUUUGGGUUGUUUCCAUGUCCUGGCUAUUGUGAACAGUGCUGCAAUGGACAUGCGGGUGCACGUGUCUCUUUUAAGGAGAGUUUUGUCUGGAUAAAUGCCCAAGAGUGGGAUUGCGGGGUCAUAUGGAAGUUCUAUGUAUAGAUUUCUAAGGUAUCUCCAAACUGUUCUCCAUAGUGGCUGUACCAGUUUACAUUCCCACCAGCAGUGCAGGAGGGUUCCCUUUUCUCCACAGCCCCUCCAGCACUUGUUAUUUGUGGAUUUAUUAAUGAUGGCCAUUCUGACUGGUGUGAGGUGGUAUCUCACGGUAGUUUGGAUUUGCAUUUCACUUAUAAUCAGCGAUGUUGAGCAUUUUUUCAUGUGUUUGUUGGCCAUCUGUAUAUCUUCUUUGGAGAAAUGUCUAUUCAGGUCUUUUGCCCAUUUUUCCAUUGAUUGAUUGGUUUUUUUGCUGUUGGGUUGUAUAAGUUGUUUAUAUCUUCUAGAGAUGAAGCCCUUGUUGGUUGCAUCAUUUGAAACUGUUUUCUCCCAUUCUGUAAGUUGUCUUUUUGUUUUGUUUUGGGUUUCCUUUGCUGUGCAAAAGCUUUUCAGUUUGAUGAGGUCCCAUGGGUUUAUUUUUGCUCUAAUUUCUAUUGCUUUGGGAGACUGGCCUGAGAAAAAUUCAUGAUGUUGAUGUCAGAGAGUGUUUUGCCUAUGUUUUCUUCUAGGAGUUUGAUGGUGUCCUUUAAAGGCCAAUUUAGGUGGGGGUGGCUUUCAGGCAAGGGAAGCCACUUGAGUGAGGGCCUAGGAGGUGACAAAGUUUGUAGAAUUGAGUGAGAGUGACUAGAGUGGAGGCUAAUUAAUAUGAGGGAAAAUGAGGAAACAACGUUGAUGUUACGUGUAGAAACAAAUAGACAAGGAGUAUGCUAAUUUGGUACAUUAAAUGCAUAAAUAAUUUUCAUAUCUUCACUUUUAGGAGUCUGGGAGCCAGAAAUAGAAUGCUUAUGUCUUGGCAAAAUAUGUGCAUUGAUACACACCUGAAACCAACACAGCAUUGUAAAUCAGCUAUACUUCAAGAUUUUUUAAAUGUGUGCUGAGAAUCUCAGAAAGAAAAAAAUAUGUAUGUUAAUUGGGAUCCUAUUUACUUUUAUGUUUACUAGGUUAAUUAUUUAAAUGUGAUGCUUUAUUUUGAUGGAUAUCCAUAAGCAAGCAAAGUGUGCUAAAAUGGUGUAAUUGUGUUGAAUUUCCCAUAUCCUGCAUUUCAUAGCAGAGGAUUGGGUAAAGACUAUAUAGCCUACACUCAAGCAAAAUCAUUUUAUUUAACCUAUCUAUUGGUCAAAUAUUCCUGUCCUCUAGGGGUACUUGAGUAAGAAUACAAGUGUAUCAGUUAGCUUUUGCUGUGUAAUAGAAUGCCCUCACAACAGUGUCUUAAAAUAACAACCAUUUAUUUAGUUUACAAUUCUGUCAUUGGCAAAGUAGGCUGGGCUCAGCUACGUUGUUGGUUCUUCUGAUCUUAGGUGGAUACAUUCUUACAUCUAUUUUCAAUCAUAGCUAGGUAGGCAGCUUUAGUGAUGGACCCUCACAUGUUUGAGACCUCAGCUUGGAUAAAUGUUGGCUUGAUCUCUCAUCGUCCCACAGGCUGGCCAAGGUUGUUCCUAUGGUGGCCAGGAAGAUUUCCUAGAUAGAAUGGAAACAAACACAGCCUCUUGAGUCCCAAGCUUAGAACUGACAUAGUAUAUAACUUCUACCAUGUUCUACUGGCUGAUGCUAGUCACAAGGUCUGGUGCAGAUUCCAGGAGUGGGGAAAAUCAUCUCCACACCUUGGUGGGAGAAGUAGCAGAGUCUCAUCGUGAAGAGCAUAGGAACAGUGAGAGGAAAAAUUGCUUUAACUUUAGCAAUAUUCUCCGAUUACUCAUACACUCCUAAUUCUUGCUAUGUGUAAAAGGAAUCACAUAAGGGAGCUCUAAUGAGCAGAGGAUGGCAACAGACCCAUUUCUUAUCUUUUGCAGCCAAACAGGAGACUUACAGAGAUCUGCCCUUUCCCAUGAGGGAAUUCAUUCCAUCCCUUUGGGCUGCUGGGUCAGUCAAUUUUUUCCAUUUUGGUUUUCUGACUGUGGCCAUCCUCUCCUUUUCAUCCCCCAGGACAAUAGCCUGGGAUUCUCUGCACAGAUGUCAAAGAAAUGAAAUGUCAGCAGAGUUCACUGUGACCCUGGAGGCCAGUGCUCUCCCCCUCUCUCUCCCAUCUCCUGCUCAUAGUCGCCUUUGGCAGGGCUGGUCUGCACUAUUAAUAAACCUUCCCCUCAGCACUUUCUCUUGAGGGAACGGUAUCAGAUGGGCUCCAUCUAUCUCCCAGCUUCACUCCCGUCAGGCUGGACAGAAGGUCUCCUGACAUGGAGAUAAGAAAUCUCAGACAUGACUGCUAUGGAGGGGAAGCUCAGGGUUCCAUUUUCCUUAUGAAAGGUCAUAUCACUUCUUUUGCAGUGUUUGGAAAGAAAAGAGCCAACAUAAUGCACUUUUAAAAUGCCAAUGGUCUUGACAUCCCUAAUAAGAAGUAAAUGAAGGAAGAGAAUAACUGAGAAGGAGAGCUGACUUCUAAGUGCCAGCGGGAGAAGUAAAACAUUUUUAAUAACCCAUGUUAAAGGCUAUGUUUAAUUCAAUUCUGGGUUAGGGAAAUGCAAUUAUUGCUGCUUUUAAAAAAAACUUCUUGCCUCAUUGCGUUGAAUACAAGCACCAGGAAUAGCUCCCCCCUCAAGAGGCUUAGGAGGCAGGGCAAACCAGUCAGAAACUAGCCAUAUCAGCUUUUCAUCCAUUUAUUCUUUCAUCACAUAUUUGAGUGGUCACUAUAUGCCAGGAACCGCUGGGCACAGGGAAUGCAGAAGUGGGAGAUGGCACAAGAUUUUGUUCUAAAGUAACUCACAGUCUAAUUAGGGAGCAUGACAAGUCAACAGACAGUAGCUAUAGAGAGUGAUGGGUGCUACCUCAAGAAGUGUAAAGUGUUAUGGAAGCCUCUCCAUGGGAACAUCUUCUUUUGAGGUUCUUCCCUCAAGCAGUAGAGGCUCCAGGAAAUUAUGGGCCAAGCCUAACAUAUUUACUCCUAUACCAUGGUGGCUGGCCCUUAGAAGGGGCUCAUUCCUAUUUAUUGGUUGACUUAGUGGUAUGAAUCCAACAUUCUCACCCCAUGGUUCUGUCAGUUCUUCUCCAAACUGGCCCUGAAUUCUUACACCUGUGAGCUUUGACAAAUAAUGUCUGGAAUCUUGUUCUCACUUGUUCUCACAUUUCAGUCCUCUAGAAAACUCCUAUUCACCCCUCAAUAGCCAGACUAAAUGCUCUCUCUUCUGCAGAGCCUUUUCUGAUCUGCUGAGUAGAACCUAUCCUCUCUCCAUAAUGCCUCUAAGCACCUUGUUUAUAUAUCAAGUUUGGUCCUAGUCUCAAAGGACUUGUCUAUUGUAAUCAUUUGUUUUUAAUAUAUUUCUGUAUCCUUCACCAGAUCAUGGGCUUCGUUUGAGCUGGGUCUGGAUGUUAGAAAUCUUUAAAUCAUCUGUGCCUGGCCCACAGUAGCAGCUCAACCAAUGUUCAUUGUAAGGAUAAAAGACUACACUUUAUGACCACAGAUCAGUGACUGUCAUUAAGAUGGUAUUUUCUGAUUCAUGGAGACAAUGGGAUAGAAUUUGGGAUGCAGGAAGGAGAACGGAGAGGAACACCAUAAGCUUAGCCUCCUCUCAGCUGUAGGGACUGCAUUUCCUGCUUUGUCUAAUCUUAGAAAGAGGAGGCUAGGGUUCACGUCUUAGAGCUAUGGCUCAUAUCCCAGAGCAGAUGAAACACUGCUCUCUGCAGAGAGUAUGGAGAUCAUUGAUCAAAAGCUGGGCAGGAUUUAGGACUGCUUGGAACUGAACAUUCAGAUGCUGUCAUUAGCACAGACUCUCAUCUCAGAAGUUUCACUUUAAUCUUUAUGUUCCACCUGAUGCUCAGUCAUGAUAUGCUGAUGCAGCACAGGAGUCCUAGGGUCAACUGGGGAGGGAUGACCUGGAGCAGGUAAGAGAGGGCUUUAAUUAGCUGAAGGGCUGCCAUGUGGAAGAGGCAGCAGAACAAAAAACAGAGGGUGAUGGUUACAAGGCAGCAGAUUGAGUCUGACACAAGAAAUGUUCAAAAACUAAGAUUCUUAUACUACUGGGAUUAAAUAUUAUAAAGUGAUGAGUUCCCUGACACUUCUAAGUAUGGCAUUAGACUGGAGCAAGAUUGGUAAUUCUAUUUGUCUUUCAGCUGUGAAAAAAAAAUCUGCUUGUUCAUCAGUAGAGAAGAUAAAAUAACCAUAACAAAUAAACAACCCAUGAAUGCAGUGAUAUAACCUAACCAAUGGUCAUGCUUAUUUCCUGUCAUUCCUAGUCAACCGUGGUCCUGCAUGGCCUCCCUCCAGUGGCCUGUAUUUUUCUUUCAUUCUUCCUUUUUUCAUUCUGUACCCUCACCUCUCUCUCAAAAUAUGAUGUAGUUGUCCUAGACUGUCUUGAAUGAGGACAUCUGGGUCCCAGUUCUAGGGGAAAAACUAUCUGUGCUUAACAGUUGUUUAGGACCACGGACAGCAACAUAUGGUUUCUUCUCCCCCAGCUGCUGAGGUUAGGCUACAUCCAGGUUGCCAGGGCCAUAUUUAAGCCAAAAUUGUGGGACCACCUGCUAUGAUUGAUGCACUUGGGUUCCUAUGUAUCAAUUUUCUAGAUUUAUUCAUGUACUGAGAGAGAGGGAGAGAAAUAGAAAGAGAUGAGACACAGUUAUCUAAUGAGUUCUGAUUCUCAAAGGUCCAGUGGUUUUCUCCAUCAUUGAAAUGCAUAAGAUUACCCUUUAUCCAUUCAGUCAACCUCCUUUUACUUGAGUCAGUCUAAGGAGGUUUGUUUGUUUGUUUGUUUGUUUCUUUCUUUCUUCCUUUCUUGUCUUUUUUGGGCCACACCCACGGCAUAUGGAAGUUCCCAGGCUAGGGGUCAAAUCAGAACUUCAGCUGCUGGCCUAUGCCACAGCCACAGCAAUGUGGGAUCUGAGCUGC